AACAGAGGGUGCAAACGUUGUUCGGAAUUACUGGGCGUAAAGCGCGUGUAGGCAGCGACUGCAAGUCGGAUGUGAAAGCCCUGGGCUCAACCUAGGAAGUGCAUUCGAAACUGCAGGGCUUGAGUUCUGGAGAGGAAGGCGGAAUUCUCGGUGUAGAGGUGAAAUUCGUAGAUAUCGAGAGGAACAUCGGUGGCGAAGGCGGCCUUCUGGACAGUGACUGACGCUGAGACGCGAAAGCGUGGGGAGCAAACAGG
This 254-nucleotide ribosomal RNA is filed under the name uncultured bacterium. RNAcentral describes it as "partial 16S ribosomal RNA". It matches the Rfam family "Bacterial small subunit ribosomal RNA", at positions 524 to 776 of the family's 1533-position model. The record is from RNAcentral.